GCCCCUGUUGUCUAAUGUUAUGACGUCAGACUUCUACCUGCGUCUGCAUGGUUAUCUGGAGGUUGCGAGUUCGAGUCUCGCCAGGGGUU
This 89-nucleotide transfer RNA is filed under the name Agrocybe pediades. Its description in RNAcentral is "tRNA-Arg". It matches the Rfam family "tRNA". Rfam says of the family: Transfer RNA (tRNA) molecules are approximately 80 nucleotides in length. Their secondary structure includes four short double-helical elements and three loops (D, anti-codon, and T loops). Further hydrogen bonds mediate the characteristic L-shaped molecular structure. tRNAs have two regions of fundamental functional importance: the anti-codon, which is responsible for specific mRNA codon recognition, and the 3' end, to which the tRNAs corresponding amino acid is attached (by aminoacyl-tRNA synthetases). tRNAs cope with the degeneracy of the genetic code in two manners: having more than one tRNA (with a specific anti-codon) for a particular amino acid; and 'wobble' base-pairing, i.e. permitting non-standard base-pairing at the 3rd anti-codon position. The record is from RNAcentral. Lineage: Eukaryota; Fungi; Basidiomycota; Agaricomycetes; Agaricales; Agrocybaceae.